UACGUAGGGGGCAAGCGUUAUCCGGAUUUACUGGGUGUAAAGGGAGCGCAGACGGAACUGCAAGUCUGAUGUGAAAGCCCGGGGCUCAACCGCGGGACUGCAUUGGAAACUGUAGAUCUGGAGUGCCGGAGGGGCAAGCGGAAUUCCUGGUGUAGCGGUGAAAUGCGUAGAUAUCAGGAGGAACACCGGCGGCGAAGGCGGCUUGCUGGACGGCAACUGACGUUGAGGCUCGAAAGCGUGGGGAGCAAACAGGAUUAGAUACCCGGGUAGU
This 271-nucleotide ribosomal RNA is filed under the name uncultured prokaryote. RNAcentral's name for it is "partial 16S ribosomal RNA". It matches the Rfam family "Bacterial small subunit ribosomal RNA", at positions 524 to 794 of the family's 1533-position model. The record is from RNAcentral.